GACGUAGGUGGCGAACGUUAUCCGGAAUUAUUGGGCGUAAAGGGUGCGUAGGUGGUCUGAUAAGUUAUCAGUGGCAAAUCGAGGCUCAACCUCGUGGAAACUGGUAAUACUGUAAGGCUUGAGUGCAGGAGAGGUUAACGGAACUCUAUGUGGAGCGGUAAAAUGCACAGAUAUAUAGAAGAACAUCAAUAACGGCGAAGGCAGUUAACUAUUCUGUUACUGACACUGAGGCACGAAAGCGUGGGGAGCAAAACGG
Molecule: ribosomal RNA, 256 nt
Filed under: uncultured bacterium
Lineage: Bacteria
Description: partial 16S ribosomal RNA
Rfam family: Bacterial small subunit ribosomal RNA
Source: RNAcentral